RNAcentral lists this transfer RNA (70 nucleotides) under Fritziana sp. 1 MLL-2018. RNAcentral describes it as "tRNA-Val". The record is from RNAcentral. Lineage: Eukaryota; Metazoa; Chordata; Amphibia; Anura; Hemiphractidae.
CGAAACAUAGCUUAAUCAAAAGCACCCCGCUUACACCGGGGGGCUACCUGUGAGACCCAGGUUGUAUCGA